RNAcentral lists this transfer RNA (72 nucleotides) under Actinomycetes bacterium. RNAcentral's name for it is "tRNA-Val". It matches the Rfam family "tRNA". From Rfam's summary of the family: Transfer RNA (tRNA) molecules are approximately 80 nucleotides in length. Their secondary structure includes four short double-helical elements and three loops (D, anti-codon, and T loops). The record is from RNAcentral. Lineage: Bacteria; Bacillati; Actinomycetota; Actinomycetes.
GGGCGAUUGGCGCAGUGGUAGCGCGCUUCGUUCACACCGAAGAGGCCGGCAGUUCGAACCUGCCAUCGCCCA